RNAcentral lists this ribosomal RNA (253 nucleotides) under uncultured Eubacteriales bacterium. Its description in RNAcentral is "uncultured Clostridiales bacterium partial 16S ribosomal RNA". It matches the Rfam family "Bacterial small subunit ribosomal RNA", at positions 524 to 776 of the family's 1533-position model. Lineage: Bacteria; Bacillati; Bacillota; Clostridia; Eubacteriales. The record is from RNAcentral.
UACGUAGGUGGCAAGCGUUGUCCGGAUUUAUUGGGCGUAAAGCGAGCGCAGGCGGAAAGAUAAGUCUGAUGUGAAAGCCCCCGGCUUAACCGAGGAACUGCAUAUAAAACUGGAGGGCUGGAGUGCAGGAGAGGUAAGCGGAAUUUCUAGUGUAGCGGUGGAAUGCGUAGAUAUUAGGAAGAACACCGGAGGCGAAGGCGGCUUACUGGACUGUAACUGACGCUGAGGCUCGAAAGCGUGGGGAGCAAACAGG